RNAcentral lists this ribosomal RNA (468 nucleotides) under uncultured bacterium. RNAcentral describes it as "partial 16S ribosomal RNA". It matches the Rfam family "Bacterial small subunit ribosomal RNA", at positions 28 to 507 of the family's 1533-position model. The record is from RNAcentral.
GACGAACGCUGGCGGCGUGCUUAACACAUGCAAGUCGAACGGAAAGGCCCUGCUUUUGUGGGGUGCUCGAGUGGCGAACGGGUGAGUAACACGUGAGUAACCUGCCCUUGACUUUGGGAUAACUUCAGGAAACUGGGGCUAAUACCGGAUAGGAGCUCCUGCUGCAUGGUGGGGGUUGGAAAGUUUCGGCGGUUGGGGAUGGACUCGCGGCUUAUCAGCUUGUUGGUGGGGUAGUGGCUUACCAAGGCUUUGACGGGUAGCCGGCCUGAGAGGGUGACCGGCCACAUUGGGACUGAGAUACGGCCCAGACUCCUACGGGAGGCAGCAGUGGGGAAUAUUGCACAAUCGGCGGAAGCCUGAUGCAGCAACGCCGCGUGCGGGAUGACGGCCUUCGGGUUGUAAACCGCUUUCGCCUGUGACGAAGCGUGAGUGACGGUAAUGGGUAAAGAAGCACCGGCUAACUACGUG